UAUUCAAAACCUAUUUCCAUGUUAUUCAUAUUCGCAAUAGAGUGAUCAUUUAAAGCCAAAACCCCAAUCAUAUCCCCAUCGAACCAUGAGAUCGUUUUUUUCUUCUGUUUCUGCUCCCACAGUUCUUUCUCUGGAUGUGGAUAGCGUUCUUUCUCAUAAGUAGGGAUUACAAAUUUUAAAAGCAAUAUAUGAACUGUCCUCAAGGAGCUUAUAUCCUCAUUAGAGGAGAUAAUAUUGAUAGAAAAAUGAUGGCCAGGGAAGAGUGUUUUAUUUGAAAAGCCACUGGAAAGGAUAAUGAAUAGAGCCAUAGGAAAGUAGAAUGACAUACUCUUUCUAGUUGCAAUAGAAGCAUUGAUUUGAUGAUGGUUCCAGAAAUGGAAGACGGCUUAGUUUGUUUGUUUGUUUGUUUUAAAACCAUUAUUUUCAGUCUUAGAGUUAAUACUAUGCAUUGGUUCCAGGCCAGAAGAAUGGUGAGAGCUAGGCAAUAGGGGUUAAGUGACUUGCCCAGAGUCAUACAGCUAGGAAGUAUUUGAGGCCAGAUUUGAAUCCAGGACCUCCCAUAUCUAGACCUGACUCUCCAUCUACUGAGCCACCCAGCUACCCCCAAUGGCUUAGUUUUAAUUGAAGGCAAGGCUAGGUCAUGCUAGAUAUAGUAAGCAAUUCACCAAUCAGAAAGGAAGGGGGCAGAGUCGCAGCAACUUCCUAACUCUCCAUCCCCACACUAGUUAGGUUAGUUUUUCCUUGAAAGCUGUCGAAAUCCAGGAGGCAGCUAGGCAGCUCAGUGGUUAGAGAGCCAGGACUGAAGACAGGAAGAACUGAGUUAAAAUUUCGACUCAGUCACUUCCUAGCUGUACGAUCCUGGAUGAGCCACUUCACCCCGCUUCCCUAGUCUUUGCCCUUCUGGUUUAGAGCUGCUACUAUGAUAAAAAAUGAAGGUUUUAAAAGAAUUAAAGUAUUGAAACUUCAAGACUUAAUUGGCUCAACUGUCAAAAUGGGAAUUCCAGGCAUACUCUGAUGGUUGCCUCAGAGGAGAUUUGCUCAGCUCAAUCCACACUCCUGUCCUUUCUGGCUGAGUAAAUCUUUUGUUAAUUAUUGAAUAAAUGCCCUUCCAGUGUCUCAUUUCAUUCCACUGCCCAACAUAAAUGACCCGAGCCAGGUCCUACCCACAACAGACCACAGGGCAGGAGUUGCAGAGGUGAAAGAAUUCAAUACCCCAGGGCAUCAUACGAAGACAGAAGCACCAUGGCAGGUUCUAUGAGAGCUAAUAGGAAAGGAAGAUGGAUUGGACUUGUGAUUGCUUUGGUGUAGACAACUCCAAGCUCUGGAAGGCCCAGCAAGACAGACUAAUGUCUAUCUGUCUUCUGGAGAGAUGCUGCAGACCUAAGCUGGAGGAUAAUGGGAUUUUAGAGCAGGGAGGAAUAGAGGAAUCACUUAAUCUGACUAUCCAGGAUCACGGUUUUAAGAAAGGAAACCAUGUCCCAGCGCAGAGUAAACAGCCGAGACAUUCUAGGAUGUUGAUUUGCAACCGUGGAACAAUGUGAAAAUAAUACUGCCAGACUUGCAAAAAAAGCAGAAGUCAACUCCAGAAGGAAGAACUCUACAACUUGGUGCCCCUGAAAGUACUGGUUCUCUCGAGGCUGGGCUGGGACAGGCUUUCAAGUCUUCAAGAUCAGUAUUGACCAUCAUGGGUCAUGUUGGAAUCAUUUUAGCUCUUCAUCUCUGAAUCUAGGACCUGGGAAUCUGACAAAUAGCUAACUUUUAUGAAGUGUCUACGGUGUAUUAGGUAGAAAGCUAAGUAAUAACAAUGAACAAGUAUAAUUCAGCUACCAGAUUUUCCAUGUCUAGCCACAUACUUUUCUCAAGCAUCUUAAGGUUUCCAAGGUGUUUUCCCCACAAUUUUGUGGCAUAAGUGGGCCAAGUAUUAUUAUUCCCAUUUUUACAGAUGAGAUAACUGAGGCCCAGUGAGAUGAAUCUCUUUAGAAUUACCUACAAUCUUCAGACUUGGAAGAAACUUUAUAGCUCUUUGAGUCCAACACUUGGAUUUUACAGAUGGGAAAACUAUGAAUGAACAUAUAUGACAUAAAGAUGGUAAGGUGAUCUGAAUGAAUAAUAAUUAUCAAUUAAUAUGGGAAGACACAUGUCCAAGAGCACUUGACAAGUUAGUGUCUGAGCCAGGGGUAUAACCCACAUGUUCUGCCUCCCAAUCUGGUGCUUUCUCCAGGGCUUCAUAUUAUCUCUACAAUUUUGCCAAAUUGGUGGCUCUGAACUAAUAUAUUUUGAUAGAUAAUUUGCCUGCCCCAUGUUUUUAAUUUCCUAAAGCAACAAGUAACAUGGCUGAGGUCAUUAUUGCUACUAGAUAUCCCUUGUAUUUAUUUUAUCUAAGGUUCCAACUUUUGUUGGGAGAGGAAUUUGCUCCUCAGGAGCUCCAUACACCAAUGAAAUCACAGGUCUAGUCCUAAUCCUGAUCCUGGUGUUGUCUAUAGGAGAACGUGUUUCUCCCAGUAUAGUGCAAGCUCCUGGAGGAUAUGAAUUGUUCCAUUUUUGUCUCUAUAUCCCCAGCACUUUGCCUAGUGCCUGUCACACCAGAGGCACUUAAUGAAUGACUGCUGAUUGAUUCUCCAGUUCUGAUCCUGCUCUCACCUCUAUGGGAACUUCUUCCACAGAUUUGACCCAGAGAGAAGUGCCAAAAGAACACCAACCCCAGACAUGGUUUAGGGAGCUAAAGUCCUGGCCAAGCCAAAAUCUGCCUACUCUUUGCCAAAAAUCACACAGGACACAGAACAUUCAGCGGAAGUUGGGGAAGUCUUUGAAGGCCAGCCUGUCUCCUCAUUGAAGCAAAAAACCAGAAUCCUCACUGUCCCAUCACCCCUCUCUUCCCAUAUCUCUCUCCUUUGAAUUUCCCCACGUUUCUGACCCUUCUCUGCCACCAGAGCUGUCUCCUCUUUCUAGCUCCAAAUGACACACACCCACUCACAGCUCUGGGGACAGGCACCAGACUGGAAAGAUGAUGGACUACAUAAUCGGGGCAAAGUGCUGAUUUUUCUUCAUUGGAAAUGGCAGACCCCAGCAGAGGGCCAGGGAUAGGUAGCAUCCUGCCCACAGAAGAGCACCAUACACACACAUACACACACACAGCAUCCAGGUUCAUUUGCAGGGCAUUGAAUGCUCUGAGAAGAUGAAGGAAGCUCCUGUUGUAAGGAGAGAAGGCAUUAACUGUGCAGCUACAACCCAGACGAAUAUAGCAGAAGGUAGAAGGGAGGUGUUGGUGUUUCAGCCCUACCCACAAGCUCUCUUCAUCAGAGAAUCCCAGCAGCCCUUGGCAAAUUGCCAAGGUCAGCCGCAUUUGUCCUUGGCAUUGUCCUGCCUCCCCCCUGAAUGCCCUUACUCAUGAUGUCUCCCUGAGUCCCUCACCCUUUAGUACGUCAUAUUUUGAUAACCCUUCAGUCUCACAAUGAUUCUGGGAGUAGGCAGUACAUGAUUUCUACAAGUAAAGCAAGCUCUUCCUGAAGUAAUUUGCCUAAUUUAGAAUGGUGAAAGCCAGGACUCCAUAUACCAUUCUUUACUGCCACCACCCCAGUGGAACAUAAGCUCCUCUAGGUCAGGGAUUGUUUCAGUCUUGUCCUUGAUGAAUGAAUGAAAAGAAGGUCUUGUGAUACCAAGACCAGUGCCCCUUCACGAUGCCCAUCUAUCUAACUUGUUCUUGGCUAAAUGUCAAUGUACUCCCCCAAAGUGUUAAUGACUGGCGAUGGAUUCAUAACUCUCCAUUGCCAUCAAAUAGAUGAAUGUUAAAAGGAGAUUCACUGGAUUAAAUCUGGCUUCAAAUAUUUUCUAGCUGUGUGCCUGUGGGCAAGUCAUUUACCCUCAAUUGCCUAGCCCUUACUAGCCCAUAUUUAAAUGAAUUUUAAGACAGAAGGUAAGAGUUUUUAAAAGAGGGGGAGUGGUCAAGAACAUCCCAAAUCCUUCAAGAUCAUAAAACCUAAUGACCCUAUUAAACCUUCAAAACCCUGAAAUCUAGCAAGCCUAAUGGUGGAAUAGCAGACAAAUAGUGGAGAAAACAUGGGGACAAUCCACAUUCACUCAACUUACAAUAGCUAAAUACUUAUGACUGCUUUUAGAAACUGUCAUAUCAUCAGUCAAAAGGAUCCUAGACCUAAAGCUAGAAUGGAGCAUAGAGGCUUUCUGGUGCAUUCUUUCCAUUUUGCAGAUGAUGAAACUGAGACCCAGGAAGUUUAAACAAUUUAAGUGUCCAAGAUGGCCAUACAGUUAGUGUCAGAUACAGGAUCACAGGGUAACUGUGGGGAGCAACUAGGUGACACAAUGGAUAAAGUGCUGAGCCUGGAAUCAGGAAGAUGAGUUCAAAUCUGGUUUCAUACAUGUGUAUGUGAUCCUGGGAAAGCCUCUUAACCCUGUAUGCCUCAGUUUACUCAUCUGGAAAAUGACUGGAGAAGGAAAUGGCAAACCACUCUAGAAUCUUUGCCAAGAAAACCCCAAAUGGGAUCAUGAAGACAUGAUCAGUCAGACAUGACUGAAGUGACUAAACAACAAAAAAACCUUAAAAUAUUACAGAAAUGUAAGUUACUGUACAAAAAUAUUCAUAGCUGCACUCUUUGUGGUGAUAAAAAAAUUGGAAAAUGAAGGGCUGUCCCUCGAUUGGGGAAUGGCUGAAUAAAUUGUGGUAUCUGUUGGUGAUGGAAUACUAUUGUGCUAAAAGGAAUAAUGAACUGGAGGAAUUCCAUGUGAACUGGAACAACCUCCAAGAACUGAUGCAGAGUGAAAUGAGCAGAACCAGAGGAACACUGUACACAGAAAAUGAAACAUUGUGGAACAAUCCAAUGUAAUGGACUUUGCUAUUGGUAGCAAUAAUGAGCCAGGACACUCCUGAAGGACUUAUGUAAAAGAAUGCUCUCCACAUUGAGAGAAAGAACUAUGGGAAUAGAAAUGCAAAAGAAAAACAUAUGACAUCACUUAUUACAUGUAUAUGUGGGUAUGUGAUUUGGAGUUUAGACUUUUAAAAAUAGCUCUAUAGCAAAAAUGAAUGAUAUGGAAAUAGGUAUCAAGUGACAACAUUUGUACAAUCCAGUGGAAUUGCUUGUUGGCUCUGGGAGGAAGAGGGGAAGAGGGGAGGGAAAGAAGAUAAAUCAUGUACACAUGGAAAAUAUUUAAAAAUUAAAAAUUGUAAAAUAACUGUAAGUUAUUAUUCCUUUCACAGCAAUUGAGAAUUGGAAUGUCCUUAGUCUCUAGGUCCUAGGUGACUGUGAUCAAUGGGUCUAGUAAGAUAAAAGUUU
Non-coding RNA from Monodelphis domestica (gray short-tailed opossum), 5285 nucleotides. Lineage: Eukaryota; Metazoa; Chordata; Mammalia; Didelphimorphia; Didelphidae. The record is from RefSeq and is a predicted model, not a curated record.